GCCCCGGCUAACUACGUGCCAGCAGCCGCGGUAAUACGUAGGGGGCGAGCGUUGUCCGGAAUUAUUGGGCGUAAAGGGUUCGUAGGCGGUUUUUUAAGUCAGAUGUGAAAGGCGCAGGCUCAACCUGUGUAAGCAUUUGAAACUGAAAGACUUGAGUUAAGGAGAGGAAAGUGGAAUUCCUAGUGUAGCGGUGAAAUGCGUAGAUAUUAGGAGGAAUACCAGUGGCGAAGGCGACUUUCUGGACUUAUACUGACGCUGAGGAACGAAAGCGUGGGGAGCAAACAGGAUUAGAUACCCUGGUAGUCCACGCCGUAAACGAUGAGUGCUAGGUGUUGGGGGUCAAACCUCGGUGCCGCAGCUAACGCAUUAAGCACUCCGCCUGGGGAGUACGUACGCA
Molecule: ribosomal RNA, 397 nt
Filed under: uncultured bacterium
Lineage: Bacteria
Description: bacterial SSU rRNA
Rfam family: Bacterial small subunit ribosomal RNA
Source: RNAcentral